RNAcentral lists this ribosomal RNA (298 nucleotides) under Tremella puncteliotegens. RNAcentral's name for it is "Tremella sp. AMM-2022n partial large subunit ribosomal RNA". It matches the Rfam family "Eukaryotic large subunit ribosomal RNA", at positions 1 to 295 of the family's 3401-position model. The record is from RNAcentral. Lineage: Eukaryota; Fungi; Basidiomycota; Tremellomycetes; Tremellales; Tremellaceae.
GACCUCAGAUCAGGUAGGACUACCCGCUGAACUUAAGCAUAUCAAUAAGCGGAGGAAAAGAAACUAACAAGGAUUCCCCUAGUAGCGGCGAGCGAAGCGGGAUGAGCUCAAAUUUGUAAUCUGGCGUCCCACGGGCGUCCGAGUUGUAAAUUAUAGAAACGUUUUCCGCGCCGGCGCGUCCAAGUCCCCUGGAAUGGGGUAUCAAAGAGGGUGACAAUCCCGUGCUUGACGCGACCACCGGGGCUACUGUGAUACGUUCUCUACGAGUCGAGUUGUUUGGGAAUGCAGCUCUAAACGG